Molecule: long non-coding RNA, 302 nt
Organism: Sinocyclocheilus rhinocerous
Lineage: Eukaryota; Metazoa; Chordata; Actinopteri; Cypriniformes; Cyprinidae
Exons: 3
Source: RefSeq, a predicted model, not a curated record
GUCCGGGGACGCCCCGGGGAGCAGCAGCACCUCCUCUGAACCCGCUGCGGUGCAGACCACUGCGAAAGAGCAGGGCAAAGCGAGAUCUGCUGCUGCUGCUGCUGGUGAAGAAGAGGAAGAGGGAUCUUCAUCACUUCAUCCUCCUCCUGCCAAAAAACUGAAAGUGGAGCAUGACAAGAAAAAGGAGAAGCGGCAAAAAGUUGAUGAAGAUGAAAUAUAAAAGAUGCAAGUUUUAGUAUCAUCAUUCUCUGAAGAACAGCUGAACCGCUAUGAGAUGUACAGACGCUCGGCUUUCCCAAAGG